Long non-coding RNA from Xenopus laevis (African clawed frog), 446 nucleotides. RefSeq lists it as uncharacterized. The transcript has 2 exons. Lineage: Eukaryota; Metazoa; Chordata; Amphibia; Anura; Pipidae. The record is from RefSeq and is a predicted model, not a curated record.
GUCCAAAGUGAUUCCACCUGCUGUGUCCUCCGUAUAUUUAAACAGGCAUUUAAUGCGGAAGAUGGACGUUUUGGCUCUGUUAGAGACUGCACAACUUAUUUAUCACCAGCCAUCCUUAUGGGGCUUGUCAUGUCCCUUGUUCUGCUGCUAGUUCUGGGUUAUGCAUUCCACAUGCUGAUCCAUUUGAAAUCAAUUGACAAAACACUAUCAAAUGAAAAAUUCUACCACCUACUUCCCCAAAACAAAAGACUAUUCUGAUGAAGAUGAGAGGGAGCCCCUAAGUGGUCAUCUCCAAGAAUGUUAUGAACUGAGACAGCAACAGUAUAGCAAGUGUCACAUGCAGCCCUGUACAUCUGUUCCCUAUUAGCACUAGAAUUGACCAUUGUUUCUCUUUUGUGUAUUUCUGUAAUUUUGAUUUUGUAUUAAACACAGUUUCCAAGAAAUAA